This 302-nucleotide ribosomal RNA is filed under the name uncultured bacterium. RNAcentral describes it as "partial 16S ribosomal RNA". It matches the Rfam family "Bacterial small subunit ribosomal RNA", at positions 508 to 809 of the family's 1533-position model. The record is from RNAcentral.
GCAGUCGCCGCGGUAAUACGUAGGUGGCAAGCGUUGUCCGGAAUUAUUGGGCGUAAAGGGCUCGCAGGCGGCACGAUUAGUCAGGCGUGAAAUUCCCGAGCUCAACUUGGGAACUGCGUUUGGAACUGUUUAACUAGAGUGCGUCAGAGGGGGGUGGAAUUCCGCGUGUAGCAGUGAAAUGCGUAGAGAUGCGGAGGAACACCGAUGGCGAAGGCAGCCCCCUGGGAUGACACUGACGCUCAUGCACGAAAGCGUGGGGAGUAAACAGGAUUAGAUACCCCCGUAGUCCCUGUCUCUUAUAA